RNAcentral lists this ribosomal RNA (403 nucleotides) under uncultured bacterium. RNAcentral describes it as "partial 16S ribosomal RNA". It matches the Rfam family "Bacterial small subunit ribosomal RNA", at positions 28 to 526 of the family's 1533-position model. The record is from RNAcentral.
GACGAACGCUGGCGGCGUGCCUAAUACAUGCAAGUCGAACGCAGUGGGGACGGGUGAGUAACACGUGGGUAACCUCCCAUCAGAGGGGAUAACACUUCGAAACAGGUGCUAAACCGAUACUGAUGGAUGGACCCGCGGUCCAUUAGCUAGUUGGUGAGGUAACGGCUCACCAAGGCCAUGAUGCAUAGCCGACCUGAGAGGGUGACCGGCCACACUGGAACUGAGACACGGCCCAGACUCCACGGGGAGGCAGCAGUAGGGAAUCUUCGGCAAUGGACGAAAGUCGAACAGAGCAAGGCCGCGUGAGUGAAGAAGGUUUUCGGAUCGUAAAACUCUGUUGUUAGAGAAGCGGUAUCUAACCAGAAAGCCACGGCUAACUACGUGCCAGCAGCCGCGGUAAUGC